RNAcentral lists this ribosomal RNA (320 nucleotides) under uncultured Prevotella sp. RNAcentral describes it as "partial 16S ribosomal RNA". The record is from RNAcentral. Lineage: Bacteria; Pseudomonadati; Bacteroidota; Bacteroidia; Bacteroidales; Prevotellaceae.
GGAGUUUGGACCGUGUCUCAGUUCCAAUGUGGGGGACCUUCCUCUCAGAACCCCUACUGAUCGUAGGCUUGGUGGGCCGUUACCCCGCCAACAACCUAAUCAGACGCAUCCCCAUCCUAUACCGAUAAAUCUUUGAUUCAACUUAGAUGUCCGCAUUGAAUAACAUAGAGUAUUAAUCCGACUUUCGCCGGGCUAUCCUCUAGUAUAGGGAAGGUUGGAUACGCGUUACUCACCCGUGCGCCGGUCGCCAUCAAAGUUUGCAAGCAAACUUCAUGCUGCCCCUCGACUUGCAUGUGUUAAGCCUGUAGCUAGCGUUCAUC